This 253-nucleotide ribosomal RNA is filed under the name uncultured bacterium. RNAcentral's name for it is "partial 16S ribosomal RNA". It matches the Rfam family "Bacterial small subunit ribosomal RNA", at positions 524 to 776 of the family's 1533-position model. The record is from RNAcentral.
GACGAACCGUGCGAACGUUGUUCGGAAUCACUGGGCUUAAAGGGCGCGUAGGCGGUUUGCCAAGUCAGGGGUGAAAUCCUGCAGCUCAACUGUAGAAGUGCCUUUGAUACUGGCGAACUCGAGGGAGGUAGGGGUCGCUGGAACUUCUGGUGGAGCGGUGAAAUGCGUUGAUAUCAGAAGGAACGCCGGUGGCGAAAGCGAGCGACUGGAUCUCUUCUGACGCUGAGGCGCGAAAGCCAGGGGAGCAAACGGG